CGUCCACAUCACGUUAAAAUACCCGUUCUCGUAAGAUCACCCAAGUUAAACAACGUCGAGCCUGAUCAAUACCUGGAUGGGUGACCGCUAGGGAAUACCAGAUGAUGAA
This is a non-coding RNA of Acanthosepion pharaonis, 109 nucleotides long. The record is from the annotation of a GenBank genome assembly. NCBI's taxonomy places the organism in Eukaryota, Metazoa, Mollusca, Cephalopoda, Sepiida, Sepiidae.